CGAGUAUACUAAUAAUACAAACAGAAAAAUGUGGAAAGACAGAGGACCAGGAGUGAAGAUCCUAUGGCUUUGGGCUAUUGGAACUGCUGGAAUUCUAGUAACAAGCGUAGUGAGGACCAGACUGCGGGAUAUGGAGGAGUUUAUGAACGCUCAGCAACAAACGCCUGGGCCUAUUGAUUCACCUGCAAUAAGCGACAAUGAUGAUCAUCAAUCAUUGAAUUCCGAGGAUUUCAUUCGGGAGGACAGAGGGUGAAUAAUAGUCUUGUAUGCUAUGUGUUUGAUGAAUUGUCUGAAUGGUGAUUUUAGUUAUUCCUUUACAGAAUUUGGAAUUAUUCGACUCUUUUCUGGUUUUUCCUUUUAAAGUUUUUAAUCAAUUUGCAAGGUUCAUCAUAUGUUUGAAAG
This 402-nucleotide unclassified non-coding RNA is filed under the name Hevea brasiliensis (rubber tree). Lineage: Eukaryota; Viridiplantae; Streptophyta; Magnoliopsida; Malpighiales; Euphorbiaceae. The record is from RNAcentral.